UACGUAGGGGGCUAGCGUUGUCCGGAAUCAUUGGGCGUAAAGAGCGUGUAGGCGGCCAGGUAGGUCGGUUGUGAAAACUGGAGGCUCAACCUUCAGAGGUCGACCGAAACCAUCUGGCUAGAGUCCGGGAGAGGAGAGUGGAAUUCCUGGUGUAGCGGUGAAAUGCGCAGAUAUCAAGAAGAACACCCGUGGCGAAAGCGGCUCUCUGGAACGGUACUGACGCUGAGACGCGAAAGCGUGGGGAGCGAACAGG
Molecule: ribosomal RNA, 253 nt
Filed under: uncultured bacterium
Lineage: Bacteria
Description: partial 16S ribosomal RNA
Rfam family: Bacterial small subunit ribosomal RNA
Source: RNAcentral